Molecule: long non-coding RNA, 4555 nt
Filed under: Marmota monax (woodchuck)
Lineage: Eukaryota; Metazoa; Chordata; Mammalia; Rodentia; Sciuridae
Source: RNAcentral
ACUCGAAUUCAUCGACUUCGACGACUCUGUGAUGUGAAGUAGCUUCUGAUGGCUUUAAAGGCCUCGAAUGCGCACAUGUAUAUAGGAUAUUUUUUAUAGCUUCCCCGAUGCAUAACCUGAUGUUAGAGUAGCAGCUGGACCCAGAGCCGCAGCUGGGCCCCGGGGGCUGCUGGCCUCUGGGCGCCACUGCCUUUGCACUUGGAAAGAGCAGUAGCCCCCGGGCAGAGUUGAAGCCUGGCCUCCUCCUGUCCUUGUCUUUUUGUGCUUUCCUCGGCACCCUAACUUUUUUCUUACUUUUCUUGUUUUGUUUGUAUUUCUUGUGGAUUGGUUUGGGGGGGGGGAGGUUCCCCUUUUUUGUGAUUUUUUGCAACAAGUGCGCUUGCCCAGCUAACUUUUGAAUUGCACUUUUUAAUAAAUAUUUGUAACAAUUUUUAAAGAAGGCUAUUCUAUCUUGUUUAGGAGCAUGGUAGGUAAGGAAAUCUGCCUGUUAAUGAAAGCUAAAAGCAAAUUUAUAAAGCUGAAAGGGUGGUUGGCAUCCAUGUUUACACUCAACUCAAAUUUUGAUAUAUAAAUAAAUUAGGAAAAAGACUGUUACAAAGGGCUUCAAAGGUAGGAUAUCAGAUUAUUUAUGUUUUAAAAGUUUUAAGACUUAUUCAGAUAGUCUUCUAUAAACUUAGACCAGGGAUGGUCCUUAGGUUUGCAUUAAGAAGUCAAAUUUUGUUAAAAAUAAGUGGGACCUUGUUUAAGCGCCGUUCUGCUCACUCCUCAUUAUGAGAAGUAGCACCUCAGAGAAUGACAAGGUCCCCUGUUCAAAAGCCUUGCUAUUCUCCUGCUGUCACCAGACCCUGGUCAGUACAGUAAGGCCUGUAUAGAACACGCCUGGUCAUUUUAUGAGUAAGACACUCCCGUUAGUUUAGGGCCAAGUUUGGUGGCCCCGGGCAGCAUGUUGUUCCAUUCUUUUGCAUUGGCAUUUUGACCUCACUGUUGGAAGGUGAUUGCUGAACGGUGGCUGAGACAUGAUGGGGUAAAGCUGAGUAGGGAACGUUGAGAGGGAGAAUCAACUUAAAUACAGGUUCCCCCUGCAAGGCACUCCCACUCCCACCUUAGACUGACCUAGAGCCAGCCUGACCCUGCUGUGCCCGCUGAGAGUCACCGCAGAACAGCCUUCCUUGGAAGGGCCUCCACACAGACUCCUAAACUGGCAGUGAAGUGCAGAGGCCAGGGGCCUACAUUUAUUUUCAAGGACAAAUAUUUCUUCCCCAGAGAUGGAGAUAACCUAAGUGUUCCCUUCACUCUGUCCCAGAGUCGGGGGUGGGGGGUGGGGCGAUAGGGACACCCUCGCUGCUUGUGAGUGCCUCCUGCUGGCAGCCCAGGGUCUUUCCCUUCAGCCUCCACACUGAGGCUCAGUCGUCAUUUUUAAAGAACUGGCAGAAUGCGGUGGAUCAGAGAGAAGGAGCUCAAAGAGCUCAUAAACAUCUAUGUUUGUGAGAAGAACAUUUAUGUGACCGAUCUGGAGGGCAGGUGCGAAUGGACCACCGAGAGUUGGCCCGAGUGGGAGUCCAGCUGGAAAACCAAAACACCUUCAGUUUCUAGUCCUCUAAUUUGUGUUCCUGUCUUUGUGAGGACUGUGAAAAAUCACAAUGCUACAUUUGCUUUGGACUGUGUGGCAAAUGGAAUUGCAGUGGUGUGUGUGUGUGUGUGUGUGUGUGUUACAUGAGGAUCUUGCACAACUUCAGAAUUCACACCAGAGCUGAAGGGGGGAAACUUGGUAACUUGCCCAUUAUUCUCUGCUCUUAGCCAGAGUUAAACAGACUGAUGGGUCUGGUAGCCAACAACUUGGCAACUUCCAUGCCUUCUCACCUCGUGAGAUUAAGGGCUGUGAAAAGAAAUCGAGUCUAACUCAACAGAAAUCUGUCUCUGUUAAGUAUUUUACCUUCUGUAAGUAAAGGUGGUGGAGCCAAGAUUUUUCUUUUGGUAAUUUCCCUGGCUAUAAAGUGAGACCAGAGGGACAUCUAUUGCCUGUAACUUUUCUGAAGAAUUUGGAGCAUAUGAAGAUCAAGAAAUCAAAUGACGACUGUGAGCUGCAUUUCAGCUGUGUGGAUGGUGCACUGCUCAGCUCCACCUGGUACCACAAGGUGAAUCUGUAAGCAAAAGAAGUGGCUGUCUGGAAACCACACGCUAAAACAUGGAAUGUGCAGCCUGUAGUUCUCUUUCUCUCACCGGCAUUUCUUUCCCUCCCAAGUUUUCAAGAAUAUUUUUUUCCCAAAGGAAUGUUCUUUGCCUAGAGAGAAGGUGAACCAAAGGCUUCUCAGAUGUAUCUCCCCCUCCAUUGCCGUGGAGAGGGCACUAAAGAUGGGACCCGAUGAGAGGCCUUGCUAGGCACCUUGCUCCUCCUGGGCCUUCCUUCCCAGUUGGGCAAGUUGAGUCCCCGGAUAGCCUGGUAAGAGGAGGUGGUCUUCCUUUUAAUGUCCAGUUGCCCUAACUCCCAGCCUUCAGAAAAUUUGCUUAAAUGGUCUGAUUCUGGUGUGGCCACAUUGGUCAGCUGUUUGUAAACAUGGAUGCCACUGUCGCCUGUUUUCUUGGUAAUGCUCACUGGGAAUUGCCUCUGGUGUUGGAUCCAAAAAGCAAGAGUGUUAUAGGGAGUAGAGCUGCCCCUCAGCCCCAGGCAGCCCCGAGUGAGCCUUGUGCCUGGUGCUUGGCGACUCAGGCAGAGAAAUGCCAACAGAGCAGACCUGCCUUGUGCCCUCUAGAGGGUCAACUCAGAGGGACCUGGGAUCACUGAGUGUGAUCUUGUUGCAGAUGAACAAUAACAGCUCACCCCAGUGUGCAUGGGGGUGCACUGCAUUCUGGACUUGGCCACCGGGCGCCCACACAGCUUGUGGAACAAGUUGAGGCUGACUUCGGUGACAGAGGUCAUUGGAUACUGAGUUGUGCACAACACUUCGCUGUAGACUAUGUGAUUUUUUUUUUUCCUUUUGAAUACAGAAGCUCUGAAAGUUCCAGUGGCACCGAGGCCAGGUUGUAGUGACCUAGACAUAUUUGGGAGCUCUUUGUAUACUGCAGUCUCUUCACUAAUUCAGCUGUUGGGGAAGUGGUUGGAGAGGAAAAAACUUGGUUUCCCUCUGCCAUAAACUAACAUGUGGUGCUCUUUUCCUCUGGAUGUGACCUUUGUCCAGAGGUGCCCUCCCUGUGGCUGUGUAGAUGUUCACUGUGCUGAGACCGCGUUGUCCUGAAUGCCUGCCUGUUGCUUGGGCUUCACGUGAACGUCUCAUGGCCCUGGUUUGCCGACUGUAGCCAGACCUUCCUGAGAACAGUGCGUGGUAUCAGGUUAUCUUUUAAGGUCAUGAGCUGUCAAACUCAGAGCCACUUGGUUAUUCAGGGGAUGUUAAAAUAAGGCCAGUCAGCUUCCUCGUUUGCUCUCAGGCCCUGCUCCUUGGCCUUGGUGGCAGCUGCAGCCCUGGGGUGGGAUCAAGCUCAGGGCUGUUUGCCAGCUCCACAGAAUGUAGAUCCCGCCGAGACGCCGUUUGUGAGUGGGAGGUGUGUCCCCGAGCUGAGGUCCAGCUUGGGAGAGGCCGAUGUCUCUAUCCCCAGCAAACAGUGUGUGUCCUGCCCUCUGGGAUGGGGAGAGGACAGCCAGGACCCCAGAGAAGCUUUUGGAACUGCUUUUAAGCUCCUGCGAUGGCUUCAUAACUGGCCAAGAGUGGGCCCAGCUCUCCACGGACAGACUUGAGAGAGUACCCAGGGUGAGGGGGCCGAGAAGCCACUGAGGGGAGGACCAAGGGACCCCAGCCCUAAAUGAUGGAUGGGUUACAAGUUUGUAAGUGGAAAUGGGCUUUUCCUUGGCUUAUUUGUUAUUAGAAAUAAGUAUGAUUUAGAGAUAGGCAAAGCCCAGCAGAAAUCAAUCAUUAUAUAUUAUCCACGCAUAAAUAACCUUGCAGCAUUUUAAUUUUAAGUAACUGGAAGGUGCACACUAAGGGAAUGGGGUCAGGUUAGAACUGCAGACACCUGAGCAGCUUCCCUUGAGAUGGUGAGAAGGGGCCAGAGCCAGAGGCUGGAAGUUUAACCAGCCUUGACCACAGCUAGAUUUGUUUCCUUUAUAUGUGGCCCUCCGAGGUGGUAUGGGACCAGGGUGGCUACAGCAUCACCCAGGAACUUGUUAGAAAUGCACAUUCCCAGACCCCUCUCUGACCUGCUGAAUCGGCAAGUCUGGAGGUCAGUACUGUCUUAACAAGCUGUCCAGAGGGUUCCAAUGCAUGCUUGAGUUUGAGAACCACUGCCACAGCAUCUCGGACUUCAGGCUACAGGAAAGCAUCCCUACAAAAUAAAACAUCAUCUACAGCUUUGAUUGUAAUCCUAAGAUUUAUGACACUGCAAACUUGAAAACUUGAAAAAAUAUACUUGGGUAAAACAAAACAAAAACUCAGCUAGCCACCCUUAAGAGUGAUAUUUUUACACCCCGAAGUCUAUCGGUAAUAUUUCUUACUUCUCUUGAGAUCAUGUUACAACUGUAUGAAAAAUACUGUUCAGUAUUAAAGAGAAAUGGAGAGACCUUAAA